GACGAACGCUGGCGGCGUGCUUAACACAUGCAAGUCGAACGGAAAGGCCCUGCUUUUGUGGGGUGCUCGAGUGGCGAACGGGUGGGUAACACGUGAGUAACCUGCCCUUGACUUUGGGAUAACUUCAGGAAACUGGGGCUAAUACCGGAUAGGAGCUCCUGCUGCAUGGUGGGGGUUGGAAAGUUUCGGCGGUUGGGGAUGGACUCGCGGCUUAUCAGCUUGUUGGUGGGGUAGUGGCUUACCAAGGCUUUGACGGGUAGCCGGCCUGGGAGGGUGACCGGCCACAUUGGGACUGAGAUACGGCCCAGACUCCUACGGGAGGCAGCAGUGGGGAAUAUUGCACAAUGGGCGGAAGCCUGAUGCAGCAACGCCGCGUGCGGGAUGACGGCCUUCGGGUUGUAAACCGCUUUCGCCUGUGACGAAGCGUGAGUGACGGUAAUGGGUAAAGAAGCACCGGCUAACUACGUG
RNAcentral lists this ribosomal RNA (468 nucleotides) under uncultured bacterium. RNAcentral describes it as "partial 16S ribosomal RNA". It matches the Rfam family "Bacterial small subunit ribosomal RNA", at positions 28 to 507 of the family's 1533-position model. The record is from RNAcentral.